This 328-nucleotide unclassified non-coding RNA is filed under the name fungal sp. RNAcentral's name for it is "partial internal transcribed spacer region". The stretch from base 1 to 45 matches the Rfam family "Eukaryotic small subunit ribosomal RNA", at positions 1787 to 1831 of the family's 1831-position model. Lineage: Eukaryota; Fungi. The record is from RNAcentral.
AGUCGUAACAAGGUAUCCGUAGGUGAACCUGCGGAUGGAUCAUUACCAAAGGAAACUUUUUUUCUUUCCAAUGUACUGUGAAUAGUUUUGACUAAUUGUGGGGAGAUAUGGUUGGUUGGUGUGGUGUGGGUGGAUGGGGGGGGCGCAGUAGUGUAGUUAGUGUGUACACACACAGAGACAGCUGCGCGCGCUCUCCAUGCACCACUCUCACCAUUCAUACCUGAUCCCCCCCUAUAUGAAGAACGUAUUUAUUUUCCCAAAACUGAAGUCUGCUUUAGAGAUUGAGAAAAACUAAAGACAACUUUUAGCAACGGAUCUCUUGGCUCUC